This 500-nucleotide ribosomal RNA is filed under the name uncultured Glomus. RNAcentral describes it as "SSU rRNA". It matches the Rfam family "Eukaryotic small subunit ribosomal RNA", at positions 591 to 1092 of the family's 1831-position model. The record is from RNAcentral. Lineage: Eukaryota; Fungi; Glomeromycota; Glomeromycetes; Glomerales; Glomeraceae.
CCAAUAGCGUAUAUUAAAGUUGUUGCAGUUAAAAAGCUCGUAGUUGAAUUUCGGGGUCAGUAGGUUGGUCGUGCCACUGGUAUGCACUGGUCUCACUUAUUCCUCCUUCCUGAUGAGCCGUAAUGCCAUUAAUUUGGUGUUGCGGGGAAUCUGGACUGUUACUUUGAAAAAAUUAGAGUGUUUAACGCAGGCUCGCGCUUGAAUACAUUAGCAUGGAAUAAUGAAAUAGGACGUUUGAUCCUAUUUUGUUGGUUUCUAGGAUUGACGUAAUGAUUAAUAGGGAUAGUUGGGGGCAUUAGUAUUCAAUGGUCAGAGGUGAAAUUCUUGGAUUUAUUGAAGACUAACUACUGCGAAAGCAUUUGCCAAGGAUGUUUUCAUUAAUCAAGAACGAAAGUUAGGGGAUCGAAGACGAUCAGAUACCGUCGUAGUCUUAACCAUAAACUAUGCCGACUAGGGAUCGGAUGAUGUUAAUUUUUUAAUGACUCAUUCGGCGCCUUACG